This 4918-nucleotide long non-coding RNA is filed under the name Marmota monax (woodchuck). Lineage: Eukaryota; Metazoa; Chordata; Mammalia; Rodentia; Sciuridae. The record is from RNAcentral.
GGAAGACUCAACAAUGGUGAAGGGCGGGGUCUGGAUGUGGGCGUCUGGGGUUCCCCGGGGAAGGGCACAACUCACUACGUUACCUACAGAUCCUUCAGACUGGCCAGGAGAUCAUGGAACUGGACACCAGUGGCUUUGCCACACAGGGCCCCACGGUUUUUGCUGGAAACAUUGGGGACAAUCGCUACAUUGUCCAAGUGUCACCACUGGGCAUCCGCUUGCUAGAAGGAGGUAGGUGGGCAAGUGUAGGGAAGCGCGUCCUGGGGAGUAUGCUGCAUUGGCCACCCUGUGCUGACCACCCUGUGCCCACAGUGAAUCAGCUGCACUUCAUCCCUGUGGACCUGGGUGCCCCCAUCGUGCAGUGCGCUGUGGCCGACCCCUAUGUGGUCAUCAUGAGCGCCGAGGGCCGUGUUACCAUGUUCCUGCUCAAGAGUGAUUCGUAUGGUGGCCGCCACCACCGCCUUGCACUGCACAAGCCUCCACUGCACCAUGUAGGCCUCACCCUCUGUGUCUGCCAUCCCUGCCUAUGAUCCCCUAUCCCCACUGUCCCCGACCUACACUGGGCUUUGUCUCUCCCUGCAGCAGUCCAAGGUGAUCACACUCUGCCUGUAUCGUGAUGUCAGCGGCAUGUUCACCACCGAGAGCCGCCUGAGUGGGGCCCGUGAUGAGAUGGGGGGCCGCAGUGGUUCAGAGGCCGAAGGACUGGGCUCAGAGACCAGGUGUGCAGGGGGCCAGGGUGCAGGAGACCUGGGUCUCUGUGGCAGAUUGAGACAUGUCUGUGUCUUCAGCCCUACAGUGGAUGACGAGGAGGAGAUGCUCUAUGGGGACUCAGGCUCCCUCUUCAGCCCCAGCAAAGAGGAGGCCCGGAGGAGCAGCCAGCCCCCUGCUGACCGAGACCCUGCACCCUUUCGGGCAGAGCCCACCCACUGGUGCCUGCUGGUGCGAGAGAACGGCACCAUGGAGGUAGGUGCACACAUGUGGCUCAGCAGCCCUGGCAGCAUGGCAGGCCCUAUCGUCACUGACUGCUGUCCCCCACCAGAUCUACCAGCUUCCAGACUGGCGGCUGGUGUUCCUGGUGAAGAACUUCCCUGUGGGGCAGCGGGUCCUGGUGGACAGUUCCUUUGGACAGCCUACCACGCAGGGUGAGGCCCGCAAGGAAGAGGCCACGCGCCAGGGGGAGCUGCCCCUGGUCAAGGAGGUGCUGCUGGUUGCUCUGGGGAGUCGCCAGAGCAGGCCCUACCUGCUGGUGAGCCCUUUGGUGCCUGCCCAGAGGCUGGGACCUGCCCUCACAGCCCAGCCCAUUCCUCCACUCUGUCCUCGGGGCCCAGCCCCACCUCGUGGCCCACCCUGUCUCACUUCCAGGUGCAUGUGGACCAGGAGCUGCUUAUCUAUGAGGCUUUUCCCCAUGACUCUCAGCUUGGCCAGGGCAAUCUCAAAGUUCGCUUCAAGAAGGUGCAGCUGCUAGACCCUUUUGGGGUGGGUUGGGAGGGGUCCAGGCUACAGGGUCUGAAGGGCCUGGCGUUCAUCAACACCUUCACCAGGUCCCCCACAACAUCAAUUUCCGUGAAAAGAAGGCAAAACCCUCCAAGAAGAAGGCAGAAGGUGGCAGUGUGGAGGAGGGUUCUGGGGCCCGGGGACGUGUGGCACGUUUCCGCUACUUCGAGGACAUUUAUGGCUAUUCUGGGGUAGGCAGGCAGCUUUGUUUGGGCUUGGGGGUAGGGGAACAGGACCUUGCCCACAUGUUCUCACAGUGUCUGUCUCCAGGUGUUCAUCUGUGGCCCCUCACCCCACUGGCUCCUAGUGACUGGCCGGGGGGCUCUGCGGCUGCACCCCAUGGGCAUCGAUGGCCCCAUCGACUCCUUCGCCCCAUUCCACAAUGUCAAUUGUCCCCGAGGCUUUCUGUAUUUCAACAGACAGGUAGGAAGGUUAACUCUGGCCGCACCACAAGCACUGGUACUGCCCUGGCAAAGCUAGGCGCUAGGGACAGGAGGGCUCCUCAGCUGCAGCACAUCCCAGAGGACCAGGGAUGACUAUCUAGAGGAGGGUAGGGCCCAGGAGGUGGGAUCUGGGGCUUGAGGCUGGAGCAGUUGGCAGUGGAGGCCUGGCUGAUGGGGCAUACCCUGAAAGCCCUUGCCUCAUCUGUGACACCCACAUGGCAGCAAUGACCACCUGAGUCACUGACAGACUCUGGUGUUGAGUGCUUCCAAGGGGCUAAUGCACUCAGGACUGGACAGAAGCUGAGGCUGGGGCUGGCAGGGUCUCCCUCUGCCUGUGUUCUUCAGUCCCUGGCAUGGCCAGUCUCAGUCAUGUGGCUUUUAGUCUCUAGUGUCCUCUGGGCUUGGACUCCCAUGCCCUGUGCUGUAUUCCCCAGCCAGAAGGAUGGACAGGAGCCUACUGAUAGAAGGCAUGGGGACUGACGACCAAGGCUACAGCUCUUCCAGACCUUCCCCAGACUCGGUGACCCUAGCCAGGCAGUAGCGAGGCCUGCAGCCCUAGGCCUUGCUGACUAUUUCCACCCACCCCAGGGUGAGCUGCGGAUCAGUGUCCUGCCUGCCUACUUGUCCUACGAUGCCCCAUGGCCCGUCAGGAAGAUCCCACUGCGCUGCACGGCUCACUAUGUGGCUUACCAUGUGGAGUCCAAGGUCUGUCCCCUCCCCCAGCACUCCCUCCCCCAGGCACCCCAGGCGUGUGACACCAUUCAACUCCUAGGUGUACGCCGUGGCCACCAGCACCAAUACACCCUGCACCCGCAUCCCGCGCAUGACUGGUGAGGAAAAGGAGUUUGAGGCCAUUGAGAGAGGUAUGUGCCACCAGGGGUGGGGUGGACCAUGCCCAGGGCUGGCUACGACCACUGCCUCCUUGUCCCUGCAGAUGACAGGUACAUCCACCCCCAACAGGAGGCCUUCUCCAUCCAGCUCAUCUCCCCAGUCAGCUGGGAGGCCAUUCCCAAUGCCAGGUGAUGUUGGGCCCAGUGGGGGCUUCCGGGUGCCAGCAGGGCAGGACUAGGGUGUCCUGAUACAGCCUGUCCUUGUGCAGAAUUGAGCUGGAGGAAUGGGAACACGUCACAUGCAUGAAGACAGUGUCGCUGCGCAGUGAGGAGACUGUGUCGGGCCUCAAGGGCUAUGUGGCUGCUGGGACCUGCCUCAUGCAGGGAGAGGAGGUCACGUGCCGCGGGCGGGUAAGCAGCUGCCAGGUGGGGACAGGCGGCCCUUGGCAGCCUGUCUGCCAUCCCCACAUGUUCCCUUGCCCUGCCAGAUCCUCAUCAUGGACGUGAUUGAGGUGGUGCCCGAACCUGGCCAGCCCCUAACCAAGAACAAGUUCAAGGUCCUAUACGAAAAGGAACAGAAGGGGCCUGUGACCGCCCUGUGCCACUGCAAUGGUCACCUGGUGUCAGCCAUUGGCCAGAAGGUACACAGCUACUCCUCCCUGCUGUGUUUCUGCCUGCUCACCCUGCCCACUCCACUGACCCUUCUGCCCCCUAGAUCUUCCUGUGGAGCCUGCGGGCCAGUGAGCUGACGGGCAUGGCCUUCAUCGACACCCAGCUGUACAUCCACCAGAUGAUCAGCGUCAAGAACUUCAUCUUAGCUGCAGAUGUCAUGAAGAGCAUCUCACUGCUGCGCUACCAAGAAGAGAGCAAGACGCUGAGCCUGGUGUCCCGGGUACUUCAUGUGGUCUUGGGGUACAGGUGAGAGUCAUACUCGGGCUCCUCCUGACACCUUCUGCUCCCUGACAACAGGAUGCCAAGCCUCUGGAGGUGUACAGUGUGGACUUCAUGGUGGACAAUGCCCAGCUGGGCUUUUUGGGUGAGUAGGGUCUUGGGGGAGUGUCACCCUGGGGGUGGCUGGAGCUGACUCUGGGUCUUUGCUCCCUAGUGUCUGACCGAGACCGCAACCUCAUGGUGUACAUGUACCUGCCAGAAGGUCAGUGGCUCCCUCCCUCACUUGUUUUUUUCAAUGUUUUUUAGUAGUUGAUGGACCUCUAUUUAUUUGUAUGUGGUGCUGAGAGUCGAACCCAGUGCAUCACACAUGCUAGACAAGCUAUCACUGAGCCACAACCCCAGCCCUCCCUCCCUCACUUCUACUCCGGCUGGGUAUUGGGCACUGGGUGGGCAGUGAUCUGAGUUCUUCUGUCCUAGCCAAGGAGAGCUUUGGGGGCAUGCGCCUGCUGCGCAGGGCAGACUUCCACGUGGGUGCCCACGUGAACACGUUCUGGAGAACGCCAUGCAGGGGGGCCACUGAGGGGCCCAGCAAGAAGUCGGUGGUGUGGGAGAACAAGCACAUCACGUGGUUUGGUGAGUGGGGUGGGGUAACUGAGCUCACUGCCCCCUCGAGCCACACUGGAUGACUAGGGGGUUGACCUGGCUCACGCUUCCCCCCAUCCCCAGCCACACUGGAUGGCGGCAUCGGGCUCCUGCUGCCCAUGCAGGAGAAGACCUACCGGAGGCUGCUGAUGCUGCAGAACGCACUGACCACCAUGUUGCCCCACCAUGCUGGUCUCAACCCCCGUGCCUUCCGGUGAGCACCCACCAUCCUCAGGGCUCUGCCUACCCUCCCAGGUUGCCCUGACCCCCCACACCCCCUCCCCAGGAUGUUGCAUGUGGACCGGCGCAUCCUACAGAACGCAGUGCGCAACGUGCUUGACGGAGAGCUGCUCAACCGCUACCUGUACCUCAGCACUAUGGAGCGUGGGGAGCUGGCCAAGAAGAUUGGCACGACCCCAGACAUUGUGAGUUGGCCUGCUUUCCCCCGCCCAUCCUGUCCCUGCCCUGCUGAGCCCUGCCCUGACGGCUUUCACCCUACAGAUCCUUGAUGACCUGCUGGAGACUGACCGUGUCACCGCCCACUUCUAAGCAUGUGGAUGCCACCCUGCCCCCGCACACUGCCUCCCCCCACCUUUUGUACAAAACAAGGAAAACAAA